AUUGCUUCUCGCCUUUUGGGUAAGAUCAAGUGUAGUAUCUGUUCUUAUCAGUUUAACAUUUCAUAAUCUUCUCAUCUUAUAUACUAGUUCUU
Mus musculus (house mouse) is the source of this 92-nucleotide non-coding RNA. The record is from Rfam. Lineage: Eukaryota; Metazoa; Chordata; Mammalia; Rodentia; Muridae.